Molecule: unclassified non-coding RNA, 254 nt
Filed under: Hevea brasiliensis (rubber tree)
Lineage: Eukaryota; Viridiplantae; Streptophyta; Magnoliopsida; Malpighiales; Euphorbiaceae
Source: RNAcentral
CAACUCUUUUUUACUGUAAAUGACAUUUCUAAAGUGCUUGAUUACUUCUGCUUGCAAAUGCUUGCUAGGGUUUAUGGUGGUUGGUCCGGAUGUAUUCGCUUGUUUUUCAUCAGACAACAAAAAGUGCACAAAAUUCUUACCAUCAUAGUGGGUCGUGUCCUUUUGUUUCAUAAAGCGGUAGCUUUCAGUAUGAAAUAUGAAAUUACAAAUGGUUUGAAGUGGAUGGGUAAAGGGUUUAAAUAUAAAAGAACUCU